UCCCUGGCGGUCCAGUGGCUAAGACUCCUCGCUCCCAACGCUGGGGGUCCAGGUUCAAUCCCUGGUCGGGGAA
Molecule: transfer RNA, 73 nt
Filed under: Bos taurus (domestic cattle)
Lineage: Eukaryota; Metazoa; Chordata; Mammalia; Artiodactyla; Bovidae
Also listed under: 5 other names
Rfam family: tRNA
About the family: Transfer RNA (tRNA) molecules are approximately 80 nucleotides in length. Their secondary structure includes four short double-helical elements and three loops (D, anti-codon, and T loops).
Source: Rfam by way of RNAcentral